GGCGCCGCGCGGGAAACGCUGGCGGCCGCUCGUACCCUACCAGGCGCUCUGCCCCGCCGUGGGGUUUUGGGGGUGCUGUGGAGAAGGCAGGGCUCGGGACUCUUCCACCUCCUUGGCUGCUCUGGCCUUUGAGUUAUGCUCUAAGAUUAUCGAUUACUUUUCCGUUGUUGCUUAUUUCCCACAGCAGCAGAAUGAGAACGGUUAUUAGUUAAUAGCCAUCAGAGACAGACCAAGUGGAACACAGUCCUCGGAAAAACGCCACUCUGUAGCAUUAGUAAUUAAAACCUCACAAGACUUCUCAGUCCUUUAUGUGGAGCUGGGGGCAGGAAGAAUUGCUUCUGGAAGCUGAUGGAGUUGGACAUGUGGCUUUCUAGAAUCUGGAUGUGAUGGUGCAGGAAAAACUCCUGCCCAUUGAGAGGGCUCCGUAAGUGCUUCCCAAAAGAGAAUGAGAAGGAAAAGGAGAUCUCCACAGGAACUGCCUCCUUGGAUCCAGGGCAAAAAUGAACCUCCUAUUGGAGAGAAGUGCCCAGCUUGUCAAGAAGUUGAAUCGGUGCAACCAGCGUUUGUGAAAGCAGCAUUUCCCAUUUCACAUAAAGUCAGCUUCUGGCCAACUGGACAAGUCUGAACAAAUAUGAAACCCACUAAAAGGCCAGUGACAGGUGCACACACUACUGACUCUGGCUAGAGGCUGUGGCAGGAAUUGGACUCAUGUCAUCCAGCGACAGUUCCACCAGCAUCUCUUGUGGCUUCCCAAGGACCAGCCUGAGGCAAACUCCUCAGUGGUGUGAAGACUUUCCAUGUCACUGGAAACCCACCACAGAGUUCUACCAAGUAACCAUGCCUCCACCAGUCCACAACAAACUUUUAAGGCCUCUCCAGUUAUGCCUGCAACCAUCCCACAUUAGCAACCUAAGUAGGCCACCAGUAGAGCUGGUCAAGAGAAAGGAUAGGUUCAAUUAAUUAUUUUUUAAUUAAAAAAAAAUAGAGACAGGGUCUUGUUAUGUUGCCGAGGCUGGUCUUGUACUCCUGAGCUGAAAUUAUCUUCCCGCCUCAGUCUCCCAAAGUGCUGAGAUUACAGGUGUGAGCCACCGUACUCAGCCAGAUAGAUUCAAUUUUUAAAACUUUAUUGCCAUUACUGUUCAGUAACCCCUUGAUAUGGUUGAAUAUUUGUCCCCUCCAAAACUUAUGCUGAUAUCUAAUCCCCAAUGUGACACUAUUGAGAGCUGGGGCUUUUAAGAUGUGAUUAGGUCAUGAGGGCUCCACCUUCUGAAUGGAUUAAUCCAUUCAUGGAUUAAUGAGUUCAUGGGUUAAUAGAUUAAUUUAUCUUGGGAGUGGGAUUAGUGGUUUUAUAAGAAGAGUGAGACCUCAGCUAGCAUAUUAGCACUCAGCUCCCUUGGCAUGUGAUACCACCUUGGGACUCUGCAGAGAGUUCCACCAGCAAGGCCUGUACCAGAUGCAGCCCCUUGACCUUGAACUUUUCAGCUUCCAGAACUGUAAGAAAUAGGCCAGGCAUAGUGGUUUACACCUGUCAUCCCACCACUCUGAGAGGCCAAGGCCAGUGGAUUGCUUGAGCCCAGGAGUUUGAGGCUUCAGUGAGCUAUGAUCAUGCCAUUGCACUCCAACCCAGCCUGGGCAACAGAAC
RNAcentral lists this long non-coding RNA (1642 nucleotides) under Homo sapiens (human). Its description in RNAcentral is "HSALNT0335580". The record is from RNAcentral. Lineage: Eukaryota; Metazoa; Chordata; Mammalia; Primates; Hominidae.